This 232-nucleotide ribosomal RNA is filed under the name uncultured bacterium. RNAcentral describes it as "partial 16S ribosomal RNA". It matches the Rfam family "Bacterial small subunit ribosomal RNA", at positions 118 to 350 of the family's 1533-position model. The record is from RNAcentral.
UGAGUAACCUGCCCCUAGCUCUGGGAUAACUGCGGGAAACUGUAGCUAAUACCGGAUGUGACACGAGACUGCAUGGUCUUCGUGUGGAAAGAUUUAUCGGCUAGGGAUGGGCCGCGGUCUAUCAGCUUGUUGGUGUGGGUAAUGGCCCACCAAGGCGACGACGGGUAGCCGGCCUGAGAGGGUGACCGGCCACACUGGGACUGAGACACGGCCCAGACUCCUACGGGAGGNA